GCAUCCUACCACAACCCCAUGGCCAGAAACCAGCUGAGUGACCGUGGUCUGAACUAAUUGUGGUAGCAUGCAGAAAAAGUGAAAGGAUCUCUUUAAGCGCAAAAAGGUCUGCACGCACCCAAGCGUACAGGAUUGUUGGCACAAUUUUACACUAACACAGACUGCAGAAGUGGUUUGUUUAUGGGGAAAAAAACACCAAAGGGCUUUCUUUUAAGUUUAUAAUAAAUGCUGUAGCUCAAUCUACUACGGUUUAUACCACCACCACUACCACCACUCGAGCCCAGCCACCAGUUAUGCUUACCCCGAAAAUUUUUGAAGUUGGACCAUAUGUAAUCAGGAAAACUGGCCAACAACAGAUAUUAUUUGAUCCGGCAUGGUCUCUUAAACAAGUCAAAUUGCUGAUGCAAAACAAUGUCUCAGAAAUACAACCAGCUUGUUCACCCUUUUUGCAAACCUCUUUUCAGGCUUGGACAACCUGGCUGCGACAGUGGAACCCUCCUAAAAAACGGGUGCCAAGAGACAUAACUGGUGUUGUGGGAACAGAAUUGGGAAUCAAUUCAGAGCUCCAGUUACCUUACAUGAACUUUUAGAAUCCAAUCUCAUGUUGAUUCACAAGCUACUGCCUACUCCCAUUGGGAUGAACCUUACUUUGGUAAAGCAACCAUUACUUCAUCAAGAUCUAAUAGAGAUCCUAGGAAAAAUCAAGGAGAAUGGACAGAAAACUCUGUCCUGAAGACUCCACGACGACACCAUGGAACCCUGCUGAUGAAGAUCUUUCGAGGGCAAUCGUCACUCACGGGGUGGUGUAAGAGCCCGUCUGAAGCCCCUCAUUUUCCAUUCUGCCUUCCGAUUGCCACAAGAAAGAAUCCCUUCCUCCACUGCAGUUCCGGCUUAGAACAGGACACAGUGCAGGUGCAACCACUGAACCGUCAUGCUGGCUGAUCCCAACAAGGCCUGGUAAGAACUUGGCAAGGACUUGGCAAGGACUUGGCAAAGACCUGACGUGGACCCAGCACGGGACAGCCUGAUGCGCGGCCUGCUUCUAAUCUCCGUUCUUAAGCCAAAUGAACUUUUGGGGUGACUCCCGGGGUCCUUCAUUGAAGACCCCUCAUCUGCCUCGUUACCAGUGUGACAAACAAAGAAUGAGAACCCUCCUCCCAAGGACUGAGACUGAGACCCCUGCUAUAGGGAGGAGGGGAAAUUGGUGGUCUGACCACUAAUGACAUGACCUGUUUCCCUUCAGUGAUUCAAAUGGACUUAUUCUUUGUCGGAACCCAAGGUGUCCCUCAGACACUCUUGGAUGUUCUGGGCCCAGGGCAGAAGCCUCUGAGACCCUGGCAGGCGGCCAGGGACCCCUGUGGUCUUGAGCUUGACCCAUGGAACAAUUUACCAACCUUGCAGGAAGAACAAGAAAUCACAAAAGUUUAGAUAUUAUAAUAGAAGUAGUCACAAAGUGAAAGGUAGGAUUUUUGAGUGCUGUACAGGGGGUUUUAGGCCUUGUACAGGGGGGUCUGAGGUUUGUACAUGGGGGUCAGAGGUUCUAAGAUGGAGGGAUUUGGGCGUGCCCUGUCCUCCUUCUUUCUUCUUCCUAUUCUCCAUGUUCUUGAUGAUGUUGGCACUCACAGAUUGGUUUAGAGUAGAAAGUCACUGUUCAAUAUAGGUAGUAGGCAUUGGGGAAAAACUAUAAACACCUAAUACGUAAUGUGUGAUAUAAAAGAUGGCACCAGCCCCUCGGGGAGGGGAGACGGGAGACAGCCAGAGACGGGGACAGACAGAGUCAGGGACAAUGCCAGGGAGUCUGUGUGCCUUGAGAUAACAUGCAAUAAACUGCCUUGAGACCGGA
This is a long non-coding RNA of Vidua chalybeata, 1843 nucleotides long. RefSeq lists it as uncharacterized. The transcript is spliced from 3 exons. Lineage: Eukaryota; Metazoa; Chordata; Aves; Passeriformes; Viduidae. The record is from RefSeq and is a predicted model, not a curated record.